RNAcentral lists this ribosomal RNA (492 nucleotides) under uncultured bacterium. Its description in RNAcentral is "partial 16S ribosomal RNA". It matches the Rfam family "Bacterial small subunit ribosomal RNA", at positions 29 to 507 of the family's 1533-position model. The record is from RNAcentral.
AGUGAACGCUGGCGGUAGGCCUAACACAUGCAAGUCGAACGGCAGCACAGUAAGAGCUCGCUCUUACGGGUGGCGAGUGGCGGACGGGUGAGGAAUACAUCGGAAUCUACUUUUUCGUGGGGGAUAACGUAGGGAAACUUACGCUAAUACCGCAUACGACCUACGGGUGAAAGCAGGGGAUCUUCGGACCUUGCGCGAUUGAAUGAGCCGAUGUCGGAUUAGCUAGUUGGCGGGGUAAAGGCCCACCAAGGCGACGAUCCGUAGCUGGUCUGAGAGGAUGAUCAGCCACACUGGAACUGAGACACAGUCCAGACUCCUACGGGAGGCAGCAGUGGGGAAUAUUGGACAAUGGGCGCAAGCCUGAUCCAGCCAUACCGCGUGGGUGAAGAAGGCCUUCGGGUUGUAAAGCCCUUUUGUUGGGAAAGAAAAGCAGCAGGUUAAUACCCCGCUGUUCUGACGGUACCCAAAGAAUAAGCACCGGCUAACUUCGUG